ACUUGAGGCCGUUCCCUCUAGUCCUGUCGCUAGCUGCCUGUGAGAAGAAGACAACCCCCAGCUCCCCACCCCUUCCCUUCAGGUAGAUGUAAAAAUUGCCCC
This is a long non-coding RNA of Oxyura jamaicensis (ruddy duck), 102 nucleotides long. RefSeq lists it as uncharacterized. The transcript has 3 exons. The record is from RefSeq and is a predicted model, not a curated record. Lineage: Eukaryota; Metazoa; Chordata; Aves; Anseriformes; Anatidae.